This 256-nucleotide unclassified non-coding RNA is filed under the name fungal sp. RNAcentral's name for it is "partial internal transcribed spacer region". The stretch from base 1 to 46 matches the Rfam family "Eukaryotic small subunit ribosomal RNA", at positions 1786 to 1831 of the family's 1831-position model. Lineage: Eukaryota; Fungi. The record is from RNAcentral.
AAGUCGUAACAAGGUUUCCGUAGGUGAACCUGCGGAAGGAUCAUUAUCAAAUUUUCCAUCUUCAACCCUUUGUGCACUGUUGACUUGCGUGAUAAUGCGUGCGCGGCGUCCUUGGGCGCUUGCUUGUGCUUAUCACCCAAAUCAUAUCCAACCUGUUUUGUUUGCAAGGAUUCUUGAAGAAUUCUGUUCGUCUGAAACUAUAUUUCAAUUCAUUUAAUGAAAAAUAUAACUUUUAACAACGGAUCUCUUGGCUCUC